CCAAAUCAGUUCAGUUCACAAGUUAUUCAACAGAUGUUACACAUUAUGAAUGAUUAAUCCACUAAGCACAGAUGCAAUCAUGAAAUUUAGCAAUUCUCACCAGGCAAGUGUUUCACUCGACCACUCAAGUGUUUAAGGUAGCACUCCAACACUCUAUCAUUCACAAGUCACAUGAAACAAAAUUGCCAUUCAUCUAAAACAACCAAAAUCCCUUCAUGCAAAUGCCAUCAAAAGGACUUUUCCAAGGCUUGUAAUGAGGCUGGGCUAACAAGAAGUGUUGGUUUUCCUGAAAUGCAAAAUCCUUGAGUUAAGAAAGCUAUCAUAGUAUUCACAUUUAAGCACAACUCUCUUCCUCACCAAUCUCACUUUUUCCCAACUUUUUCCCUUUUCUUUUGCAUUGAGCCCAUCUUCAUGCUUUUCUUCUUUUCUUUUCUUUUUCUCGUGUAUUUUUCUUUCACAACAUUUGAGCUCAAUGCUUUUUCAAUUGCCUUUUAGUUUCCCCCAUGCAAACCCAAACUUGAACCUUUUCAUCACAUGCAAUUAAGCUCAUCCCAACUCAAGGUAAAGAAUGUCAAGACAAGGGUUCACAUCCUGUUUAAGGCUGAGGUUCAAACAGGGUAUAAUAUUU
This 628-nucleotide long non-coding RNA is filed under the name Vigna radiata. RNAcentral's name for it is "long non-coding RNA (VRAD_LNC011201)". Lineage: Eukaryota; Viridiplantae; Streptophyta; Magnoliopsida; Fabales; Fabaceae. The record is from RNAcentral.